GGGGCCAAAACCAAGCAUCCUGCUUUAUGACUCGCUCCAGCUGGGAGUAAAUGACGUAGCCAAACCUGAGUCAAUCCGCGCGCAGCCUCCGUUAAUCCGCUCAAACGGCGCGAGCUGCUGCUUCACCUCCACUGAGCGGGAAAAAUCUCUGAGAGGAAUUACAACAUGGCGAGCUGAAGGACUUCACUUCGCUCUCAGUUGGUUAAUUACCUCGGAAGUUGGGCCUGUCCUGCUAAGGGUGGUGAAUGGUCAGUUGUAGUUUUGAAGAACGACGUUUACAAGCGACGCUUAAUUCGGCUGUGAGCACUUAGGUUAGCACUUGCUGCGCGCUGUGCUGAAAGAAGCUUCUCCGACCGACGCUGCUUUUCCCCCUCUCUAAUCAACUUCCUCACGCGGUUUUGUUCAGGAGAAUGAGGUGGCUUUGUACUUUGUGUGAAGAAGCUGGAGCGAGAAACUGACACGGUUUGCUUUUUCCACUUUUUAAAGGGUUUUUUUAAGAGCAGCUCUGAUAGACGAGUGAUAAACGCGGCGGGUUUGAACUGAAGCGCUUCUGAGUUGUCGCUAUGAUCACUUUGGCUGUUGGACUCCUCUACGUUUACGCGCUGGGCAGCGGUAGGGUGGCGCGCGCCAGCGCUCAGGCGAAGGGCAGCCGAUUCGUGUGCACGGCGGUGCCCCCGGGCGCGGACCUCAGCUGCCCGGUGGAGACCACGAACCGCGUGCAGAGCUCGAGCCCGCAGGAGGACGAGUUCAGGAGCACGAUCAUCCAGCUGCGCGAAACCGUCCUGCAGCAGAAGGAGACCAUCGUGAGCCAGCAGGGCACCAUCAAGGAGCUCAACGCCAAACUCUCCCGCUGCGAGGCCGCCGCUCAGGACGCGCGCGACAGCAAGGCGCGAGGAGGCGCGCGCCGGAAGGACUACGGGAAAAACACGAUGGGGGACCUGCCGCGCGACCCCACUGAGACCAUCGAGCAGCUGGGGAAGACCAUGCAGAGUCUAAAGGACCGGCUGGAGAACUUGGAGCAGCAGCAGCUGCGUGCCAACGUGUCAGGUGCGGCUUUCCCCAAUGAGUUGCGCGACCUGCUGAAGCGGCGGCUUGGUGACCUAGAGAGCCAGCUCCUGAGGAGAGUGGCUGAGCUGGAGGAGGAGAAGAGCCAGCUUUACAAUGAGACGGCAGCCCACCGCCAGCGCACAGAGAACACCCUCAACUCGCUGCUGGAGAGGAUCACUGAGCUGGAGCGAAGUAACAGUGCGUUUAAAUCUCCAGAGGACUUCAAGAUAUCUCUGCCUCUGCGCACAAAUUACCUGUACGGCCGCAUCAAGAAGAGUCUACCAGAGAUGUACGCCUUUACCGUGUGCAUGUGGCUCAAGUCUAGCGCUAGUCCUGGCAUUGGAACUCCUUUCUCCUAUGGUGUCCCUGGACAGGCCAAUGAGAUUGUACUGAUAGAAUGGGGAAAUAACCCCAUCGAGCUACUUGUCAAUGACAAGGUAGCUCAGCUACCUCUGUCUGUGAGCGAUGGCCGGUGGCAUCAUAUCUGCAUCACCUGGACAACCAGAGAUGGCUUCUGGGAGGCCUAUCAGGAUGGAGAGAGGUUAGGCACUGGGGAGAACCUGGCCCCGUGGCACCCAAUUAAACCUGGAGGAGUGAUCAUUCUAGGUCAAGAACAGGACAUUGUUGGAGGGAGGUUUGAUGCUACGCAAGCUUUUGUUGGAGAACUGAGCCACUUCAACAUGUGGGAUCGAGUUUUGCGACCGAUAGACAUCUCAGGCAUGGCCAACUGCUCGGCCUACAUGCCUGGCAAUGUCGUGCCCUGGAUAGAUGGCAACGUAGAGGUGUUUGGAGGAGCCACAAAAGCAGCCCUGGAGAUUUGUGAGGACCGACUCUUUGACUCGUAAGAUCAAGUUUGCUCUUCUGGAUAUUUUUCUGAGGUAAAACACCUCAUCAUGCUGCUUCUGGACUGUCAAGGAGGGACACGAUAAUGUGAUGAAACAGUAUUCACUGUGCUUACAAGCAUUUUCUCUGGCUGGUUUCUGCUUCUUUCAGCUGUUUCUGUUUUUGUUAAGGUUUUAAUGUCAGCAAGGUCAAUGAUUGAAGUAAUCGUGAUAUGUGAUGUUUUAAAAAAAACUCAGCUUGCACAUUCAAGGUUAAGAAUACUUGAAUACUCUAGCUUGUCCAAGCUUCGGUCUCUUGUUGAUGUUAGGUAUGCUUUUGUGUUGCACAUGUCCUUCAGAAUCCUGGGUUCAUUCAAAAAACUUUAAGAACAGCGUGGACUGGAUUGUGACGUCCCAACUGCAUGAAGGGUUACUUAAUUUAGUUUUGAGUCCAAUAUACACAUUAAAAGAAACCUUUUAAAACACAUUCAUUAAACUGACUGAACCUAAAAUAGGGCUUGAGCAGAAAGACUGAGCUGUCUAUAACAUGUGAAUGAACAGGUCUAUUCAAGCAGAUGUCUGCUCACUCAAAGGUGACUAUGUGCGCAAGUUUUGCGAGUGUGUGUGGGUGUGUGGGUGGGUGGGUUAGCUUGCAUGUGGACGUUCAGGAGAUUAGUAGAGGAGAACGUUCACAUUCUUGCAAAUCUACUCUAAUGCUGCUCCCCUUGAGCAGCUGCCAUCUCCAGCAGAUUUGCCGCACAGCCGGGUGAGGUUAAAGGCAAAACAGCAAAGCUGCCAAGGACUGGCCUACAAUUCACAUUGGCCCAUGUCAGCGGGAAGCAGCUGGGAGGAGGGAGGCCUUAAAGAGAUCCAGCUCAUUUGGCUUAAUAGACCAUUGAAAGAAUGUUUAAUCGUCAUUUGUCUUGUAAAGUACUAGCUUUAUCAAUUACAGAAGUAGACAGGCACUGCUGAAUUUUUGAUACACUUUUGUAAAUGCGUUUUGUCAAGGCCAGGGAGAUGACCCUGACUUUAAUUAGCUAAACUGUGUGUAGGAUCAUGAGGAUUUUACAUUUACAAUACUUGUUUAAUGAUGCAUGUACAUAACAAGAGUUUCUAUUUCAGAACACAUUGAGACCCUAGCACAAAGCACUCAAAAACAAAACAAAAUAAGCUUUUUCAAUAAGGAUGUGAAAGACAUAUUGAUAGAUACUGAUGACGGCGCUGAUCCUGCGUGUGUUCUCUACAUGUUUGACGACAGCAAGGUUGAAUGCAUUAUCCUCUUGCAGUCUGAGAGAGGAACUUGUGUUAUUUUUGUACAGAACCCAUUGGUACUUGGUUAUUUUAGAUUAUUUAUGGAAAGUGUCCAGUAAUGUUUGAGUAAAGCAAUGCAGUAGCUGCAUUACGUGAGAUUUUUAUGUAUACCAAGCUUUCAGUGCUGUUUUGUACGUUUUCAUGCCCGAAUACACCACUAUGCCUGUGAGUCUUAUUGUGUCUAACUGCGUUAAAUAUGUAGGAUCCAGCCUGGUUUUGUUAGGCAUUUCUAGACUCUAGAGUGGAAACGGUAAGAUUGCAGUCUCACAGGUUUUCUGUAGUGCGCACUAUUCUUAAACACACAGUACCCACUAAUUAGGGAGUAAGUUGUUUCCCUUGUUGCCACUUACUGGUAUGUGUCCUUUUAAGAAUGAAAUCAUACCAGGAUGAAGUUUACUUCUUGGCUUUAACCCUUAGAAGUCAAGUUGCUACAAUUACAUGUUAAAACAUAAUUAUGUAAUUGCAUAUUUCCCUGCAUGGUAUGUUUACAUUCAGUGUACAUUCUCUUUUAACAGGUUUGAGUCAAGUUCAAGUCAUGAUACAUUAUACAACGGUUAGUUUUCACUAUAACUGUAGAUUUUCCCUGAGUGUUACUUGCAAAGUAAUGACUCAAGCUCAAACUAGGUUUUUAUUUUAGCACAUGGGGAAAAAAAAGAAAAUUAAUACAUGAAAUAACUUGAAAGAUAAUAUUUAACCUGCAGCCCAUUUGGUCAGAUUGUGAAAAAGACUGGGGCAACAAAUUCCGAACCUGUCAUUGCCCCUUAGCUUUCGAGUUGGCAGCUAUGAUGGUGGAACAAGUAAACAAAACUGGUAUACAAUUUAUCAAACAAGAUGGGCUAUGAAAUGCCUUUCAGGCUGUUUGUAAUAUAGAUAUUUAGAUUAAUCUGGCAAAUAUUGGUAACCUGAUUUGACCCUGAUAUUGCUGAUACAUGCCCCUACUGUUUGGUGAAAAUUUUGGUGAAAACUGCCAAAAUUUAAGCACAUUUGAUGCAAUGUUUAGAGUUUCAUUGUUUUACUUUUUGUUUAGCAGAGCUGUUGUAGAAAAAGUACUCAACUUUGUGUUUUAUCAUGAAUAUCACGGCUUUGGUGAUCUACAGUUCUCACUGCAUGCACAAAAUUACAGCCAUGAUGUUAUUUCUUCUAUUACUUAAAUGUAUCCUCUUCUAAGUAUGAACACAAAUGUGGUAUCAGUUGAACACUUCACACUUCCUGCUUGUUUCCUCAAGCUACAAUGGAGAAAUAACUUGUACUGAAUUACACCAUACUUUAGUUUUUGUCAGCUUUAACUGUGACUUCUGAGGGUUAAGAGUGAGAGUAUACUGAGAUGAAGCAGCAGCACUGGUAUGUCCGGUAUUUCUGAUUGCUGAAUGUGCAUUCAUUUUCAUUUAACUGUGAAUUCAAAUUAUUUACUGUCAUUAUCUGUGUACCUACAGGAAAACAAUCUCUAAUGUAAUGCUUUGUGUAUUUUUAUCUGUUCUGACAAAAAAGCAACUAGUUUGAAUUUUUUUGCUCAAAAAAAACUGAAUGGCCUUUUCUGAGCACCAACUGUGCUUUCUUGGUUUGUUGAAGAGUCCAUCUUUAAAUACAACCAAUUAAUCUACUGAGGGUAGAGUGCGACAUGGAUGGAUUGAGGAAAAUGGAUGAAAUGAAAAUGUUCUUGAUUUGGAAUCAUUCUCUCUUUCCUCGUAUGGAUCACCAUGCACAGCUCAAUGUGGAGCAUUCUUUCUAAAUCAGAGAAAUCACCAGUAACGUGGUCUGCUUCCUGUCGGACACUUCCUGUCCUGUAUAUGAAGAGGAUAUUUGAUCAGUUGUCAAGACUGCAGACAUUAUCAGACUGUUUUUAUCUCCCUAUGAUGUCCAAUAGAUCUCUGCUCAGAUUGCAUAAGAGAGGAUUGCAGGGUUUUUUUCCAAGAAAACUUUUUUUGGGUUGUUUAUUUGUGCAUUUUAUAGCAAGACAAAUCGCUUUUUGUUGAUUGCACUAUAGGAACCUUGACUGGACAUAAAUAGCGUUUUUUCCUUAUCUCCUCUGUUGUGGAUUAAAAUGUUACCAACAGGGCAAAAUCCUCUGUCUGGCAGGGCUCCAUGUGGAAAUGAAAAAAAAAUCUGUGGAUUAUGAGCUGUUUAGUGCUUUUAAGUAUGUGGUUUGUACUUUUCUGAAGCUUUCUCUUGUAAUUUUCACCGUCAUGCUCAUCUCUAUCAUGGAUUCCUAGCUUGCUUUCCCCUCCAGCGUCACAUUAAUUGCUUUGUCACCUGAGUCCCGCUUGUGUCAAUUAGCAGACGACAAUAAAAAUGCUUUGACAAGCAAUUAUUCUGGAUGUAGCAGAGACCCGGUGGGGUACAGACGGUCUAAAUGAGAAAUGAUUUUUCCUGCAGUGGGGGGGUGCAACUCUAAAACUCUCAGAUAUGCUUCUUAACUACACUCAAAUAUCCAACAGUCACCAAUUUGACUAAAGCUAGACUUUUAAAAAUAGAAGUGUCAGAGAGGGUUCUUUGGAGCGAUGCUGCAGAAGAACUGCUUUUGUUUCUUGAAGGGCCCACAUCCUACAUUUUCCCCCAAAAUCCACUUAGAAUUAGUGUGAUUUUAUGUGAAAACAGUGAUAAUACAUUUUUACACUUUUUUUUCUUCAAGAUUGUUAUGUGAAAAUGAGGCUGAGACACUUUAAAAACUUCAGCAUUAAUGGUAAACUCAAAGCUAAACUGCUGUAGGCUGAAUAGGCAGGUAUAUGCAAAUAUGUGUUUUUUUGACAGCAUCACAAAAACAAUGAAUUCAAAUUGGGCUGCAUAACAGAUUAGUUUUCAUAUUUGCACUGGUACAUUUUGAAAGUUUACAUAAUACAUGAAACUUUUAAUUCAACAAGGCAAAGACAAUUCCAUUUUUCCAUGACAUUGGCCCUUUUCGAGAGCAAUGCUAAACUAAUUGCUAAAAUGGUCAGUUAUUUAAAGAUACAGUUGGAGCACCACACAAGAUAAAUCCAUUAAAACCACAUGUCCAAAACAAAAACCAUUUAGAAACCUUUAUUUGUAAGAGUGUAAACUGUAACCUCUUAAAAAUGGGCUUCUGUAAAGAUUCUUUAGUAAAGACAUCGGUUAUAUAGAGAACUAUGUUGGCUCAAAGAACCAUUUGAAUGCAGAAAGAUUCUGUUCCAAGUUAUUUGUUCUUUGACCUAAGAAAACGGUUUUAUCUAGCACCAAAGAGGGUUCCACUAUCUUUUCAAGUAAUAGAACCUUCUAUUUGUACUAUAUAGAACCUUGUUUGCUAAGCUGUGGUGCACUUGAAUUACCCAGCACUUACUAUAUUAACCUCAUAUCCCCAAAGCUCAGUAUGUAAAUCCAUCAUGUAAAAGGAUAGUUCUUUUAAUUAUGCUUCUUCAAAUUAACUUUUUUAAGGUAAUGGUUAUUCUGCUUGAGUAGAGUUUUUAUAGCCUUACAGUGCUGAUUCAGUGGUACGAUUCAACCCUGCAAGAGUCAUGGCUUUGCAUAUAAUUACCCUGAAAUAAAAAGAAACAUAAAUAUCACAUUUUACUCCAUUUGGAUUCCCUCACUGGGACCUGAACUUGCAGGAAGAACAUGAUUUCUUACUGUUGCCUAGGGUUGCAUUCAACUUUGAGAAGCGGAGCGUAUCCGAGUAUGAAGCAGUAAUUAGAAGGCACCAUUUCAGUAUCUAGUCAUUAGCGAGAGGCCAUGCUACACUGUAAGGGGAGAAUUUAAAUGCCACUAUUUUCAACAUUGCCUUCAGACAGAAGGUUCUGGAAAGAGGCUUCGUGACUGAGAAGUCACCAAACUAGCGGCUGCUUCUUUAUAAUUACGUUUAGAGAAAGAAGCCUUGAAUACAAGGAUGUUCUCUUAUAGGGUAUGCUCACAUGAUCCUCUAGCUUUCUCUCAAAUUCCAUGAAGGAUUGCUCAAACCCCCCUUUAGCCAAACUGUGUUCAUUAAAUUAUGAUAAUAAAGAGUGCUGGAGCCUCCCAA
Molecule: RNA transcript, 7146 nt
Organism: Pygocentrus nattereri (red-bellied piranha)
Lineage: Eukaryota; Metazoa; Chordata; Actinopteri; Characiformes; Serrasalmidae
Gene: nptx2a
Gene name: neuronal pentraxin 2a
Exons: 6
Source: RefSeq, a predicted model, not a curated record